UCAGAUUCUUAUUAGUAUCAAUAACUACGCAUGUUUGUAAAGACCCAUAUGAUGUAGGCUUUAAUAUUUUGUAUAUGAAUUUUUUUUAAUAAAAAUCAGAUUUACAAUUGUGUAUGCCAGGAAAGAAUCAAACUUUUCUAAUUUUUUUUGAGAUGUAGAUGUCUAUACGUUUUAGGAGCUAACUCAACUAUCAUUAUUUGUUUCUUAGUUUAACCUAGUUGGGAUAUUCUUAAAACCCCUCCAUAGUCUAUAUAGCUUUAACUUCCGAAAACAACUGUUGAUUAUCAAACAUAUCUUCCAAAACACAUUGCUAUAACGACAAAUUACUCAAAUUAAUUCAGAUAGCCAAAUUCACUAUCUGUGAGCAUAAAAUCUGUCCAGUACCUAUGUUGUGUCCACCAACAUUAUCUGGAAACCUAUCAUCGUGCAUAUAGAAAGCUCUCGCAGUAGGCACAUCAUAUGGUUCAUCCUUUUUAUUCUCCAACCAAAUAAUUUAACCAACUAAAUUUGAAAAAAGAAAAUAAGAAAGGUAUUAUACCUCAUUAGCCUUUAAAUAAUAUUGUAUCCUUACUGUAUAUAAAAAGAAAAUGUAAUUUCAAAAAGAGGAAAAAGUUCUAAAAAUGAAGAAUAUAAA
Molecule: long non-coding RNA, 634 nt
Filed under: Capsicum annuum
Lineage: Eukaryota; Viridiplantae; Streptophyta; Magnoliopsida; Solanales; Solanaceae
Description: long non-coding RNA (CANN_LNC015714)
Source: RNAcentral